UUAUUUAAAAAAAAAAAUAGUUAUUUGUUUGUUUAUUAGUAUUUAUUUAAUUAUUUGUGUUUAUUUAUGUGAUUAUUAUUUAUUUAAUUAUGUGGCGUGUAACUUUCGUAUUUGGAAUAUUUAUCGGUUUUGGUUAAGUCGGUUAAUUAAAUAGAAUCAAGUGUUAUUUAGAUUUUAUAUGAGUUGGGCUUUGUGUGGGAAAGAUAGAAUAGUCCAUUGAAAUUUGGGGUGUAAAUAGGAAUAGUGUAGAGAAUAGAAACCUAGUUGAUAUAUUGGUAUAAAUAGAAUAUAGAACUCACUUCUUUUAUUUUGUAAACCGCCCUAGCUAUUCAUGUUGAGCCUUCAUUCACUUUUAGUCGGAACCAUAUAUACACAGUGGAAAUCAUGAUAUUAAAAUACCAAUUCACCCAGAUGGAAGAUUAGUGGAGCACUCACGUUUCAUAUCUUGGUUACUCCAUCAAAUUGUUUUCCCUUAGUCCUUAUUAAUUAGCCUUAUCAACCCACACCCAUUGAAACUAGUGAGACAUCCUUAUCCUUAUAAUCAUAAAAUUACCAUUUCAACAUUUCGUGAAAGAAAAGAGGAGGGUUUUAAAGAGACAAGAAUAAGAGGAGGCGAGAAGAAGAAAAGAGAAAAGAACAAGCCAAGUAGUAGAGAAACCAAGUGAAGGAGUAAAUUUCAACAAAUCUAAGGUUCUCAGGUUGUAUGUUUGUCGGUGUUCGAGUUGUUAGCGAAAGCUCCGCUCUGGUUGUGACACGGGGAAGGGUUUAUCGAGUCUUGUACUUGUAUUCUUAUUUUAUUGUAAAUGUAUUAUUUUAGAAAACAAUUUUUAUUAAGUGAGGUUUAUGCUAAUUAGCAAUGUUCUUGAAGUAUGUAAUACCUUAAACCACUAUUUUAUAUUUUAUAUUCGACUUCGAGUCGUUUUAAUUUUA
Molecule: long non-coding RNA, 930 nt
Organism: Trifolium pratense (red clover)
Lineage: Eukaryota; Viridiplantae; Streptophyta; Magnoliopsida; Fabales; Fabaceae
Exons: 2
Source: RefSeq, a predicted model, not a curated record